Syngnathoides biaculeatus (alligator pipefish) is the source of this 1082-nucleotide long non-coding RNA. RefSeq lists it as uncharacterized. The transcript has 6 exons. Lineage: Eukaryota; Metazoa; Chordata; Actinopteri; Syngnathiformes; Syngnathidae. The record is from RefSeq and is a predicted model, not a curated record.
CAGACCCUGCUGAAUAUUGGGGGAAUGCUGUAGCUCCUCUGUGGCUUUGCACUUCUGAUCUGUCACUCAUUUGUGCCCAGAAUAUUCUGGUGUGGGUGGAGAGCUGAAAACCUGCAAAGGCCACACAAGCGAGGCCGGGAUGUGAAGCCCGCACCAUGCUGCACUUCAUGACUCAAGAAUUUAUUUUGGAAAGAACAUCGAGGGAAAAUGGCAAGCCGAGCACGUGCGAGAUCUCGAGGCAGAGCACAUGGCCAGGAGAUUGCUGCACCUGGGAUUCAGGUUCGAGAGCCAGCACCAAAGGUUUCAGAACAAGCAAAGUGUCAUGCUCCUGGCUUCCUGCCCAGGCUGGCGUGGCCAGCCAAUCAGUCAGAGCACACCUGCUCCGUGUUACAGUUGAUGAUGCCCAGUAUAGAUAGGACGUGGGGGACGACUUGUCCUUCGCUAGAUCGUCGUCCUUGAUGCCUCGUUCCCGCACACCUGUUUGCCUGACUUCUGCUCUCCGUGCACCGACCCAUGCCUGUCCACUGACCACCCUCGUUUCCUCUGUACUGUCUGCUGUCUCUGGAGUCGUACAUUUGGGUCCACCCUCGUGUUGCGUGACACAAAGACCAGGUUGGUUGGCCGAGGGCGGCAGAAAACUGCCCCAGUAGCUUAUUCUGAACGAGGAACAAGUGGCUCUCCUAUUCAGUUGUCUGUCAACUUCUUUUGUAUCCUGUCCCGCACUCUUUCGGUCCUGUACCAAUACCACAUGGACUUCAAGCCACCAAUGGAGUUCCGUCGCCUUCGAUCGGCCCUCCUAUUCCAGCACGAGCAAACUCUGGGCAAUGUUCACUGAUUCCAUGGAGGAAUACGCUUUCUGCCGCAAAGACUUCCUAACAAGGUGCCGCCCGUCUCCACAUUGACACCAUACAUCAAAUAUAGUACAAAUAAAGCAAUCUCGGCACGGUGAUACAUGGAACAUUAAGGUGACUGUACUGCAAAGUAUGACAAGUAAUGGUGAGAAAGUGGAGAUCAGUAUGACCCUGACGAAUGAACUGCCUCCUACAUCACCAGUUUGCCUGCAGUUGUACAACAUUAUAUUC